This 441-nucleotide ribosomal RNA is filed under the name uncultured bacterium. RNAcentral's name for it is "partial 16S ribosomal RNA". It matches the Rfam family "Bacterial small subunit ribosomal RNA", at positions 338 to 795 of the family's 1533-position model. The record is from RNAcentral.
CCUACGGGAGGCUGCAGUGGGGGAUAUUGCACAAUGGGGGAAACCCUGAUGCAGCGACGCCGCGUGUGGGAAGACGGUCCUCUGGAUUGUAAACCACUGUCCCCAGGGACGAAGAUGACGGUACCUGACUAAGAAGCCCCGGCUAACUACGUGCCAGCAGCCGCGGUAAUACGUAGGGGGCAAGCGUUAUCCGGAUUUACUGGGUGUAAAGGGAGCGUAGACGGCGCUGCAAGUCCGGAGUGAAAGUCCAUGGCUUAAUCAUGGUACUGCUCUGGAAACUGUGGAGCUUGAGUGCGGGAGGGGCAGGCGGAAUUCCUAGUGUAGCGGUGAAAUGCGUAGAUAUUAGGAGGAACACCGGCGGCGAAGGCGGCCUGCUGGACCGUAACUGACGUUGAGGCUCGAAAGCGUGGGGAGCAAACAGGAUUAGAUACCCCGGUAGUC